Molecule: RNA transcript, 2085 nt
Organism: Meleagris gallopavo (turkey)
Lineage: Eukaryota; Metazoa; Chordata; Aves; Galliformes; Phasianidae
Source: RefSeq, a predicted model, not a curated record
UACAGUUUAAUUUGUACUGAAAAUAUACAUGUUCAAUACAUAAGGCUGAUAUUUGAAAAUGUUUGGUUUUCUUCAGAAACAGCCAAUGAUCAAGAUUUGGUCCUCAGUGGGCUAGGCAUUGUACUUUUGUCACUGAUUUAAGAGGAAACAAGGUGAAGUCAUCAGUCUAGGUAAUCUUGGGGAGGAUAAGAGAAAACUUUCUCAAGAUUGUUUUUGUAAGAUUUGAACAAAAAUACUGAUAAAUAGGAGAGAGUUUGUGUAUUUGUACAUUUUUCCAGAAGGAGGUGGAUUGCAACUUACAAUUACCCAUCACUGACAUGUAUUUCAAUUACCAAAAGUUAGUUAUACGUGAAGAGACAAUGAAGAAGGGACAAUAAAAACUAAUUGUUCUCUUUUCUAAGGAAACAUUAAUGGCAACAUUAUUGGCUUUGCAUUUACUUUUAGUUGUCUUGAAUUCCUGGUGAUAAAUAAUUUAAUUCUAUAAAGCUAUCAUUAGAGUUACUGACACCAUAAAUCACUGCUUUUAUAAUGGACAUCUAAGCACGCAAUUUUUACUCUCUCAGUAUUUCGAAUUAACUGAAUAAAAGUUAAAAGCAUUUCCCCUGGAGAUUUACAAUAGAAUUGGGUUUGGCCUUUGUAAACAAAAACAGAUACUGUCAUUAAAAAAUGUACUUCCAGCUGCUUUAUAGAAAUUACCACACACAUGAAUCUCAGAGGAUUUCUCUUAAAAUGUGAACUUGUGGCCUUAAUAGCAGAGAAAGAAUGAGACAAACAGAAUUAGGGCCAUGGUGCUUUUCUUUUCCCAGGCAUCAGAAAGAAAACCUUUGGCAGGAGAGCAAUGGAAAGAGAUAUUAGUGAGUAGCAAAGCAAAGAUGUAUGCUGCUUUAUUACCUGUACAAGAGCUUCUCAACAAUCCAAAGAAUUGAAGAAGGGAACAGUAUUAAGAGACCUCACCAAGAGACAGAUUUUGAAGUGGACUAUGGAAGACAUUUCCAACUACACAAUCGCACUCAUAUGACUUCUCCCAGCUUAGCUGGUACAAAACCAAAAUUAUUCAGACAAGCAUUUUUUUUUACUUAAUUACAUUACCUGAACUUCAUAGGGAAGAAUCUUGACACAAUAGAGAUCUCUGCUUCAAGGCUUAGAGGUGCAAUUUUCAUUCCCCAUCUGGUAACAAAAACAGAAAGGUUACUUUUUUUGCUUUUAGGGGAAAAAAGUCAUUUCAAGCACUUAAUAAAAACCAGAUUUAGACAUGCAGAUCUGAAUUACUAAUACCAUUAAUAUUUCAAGAAGUAAAUCCCCAAUGGGAAAGUUAUCUUCAAAAACAGUCGGAGAAAAAAAGAAAGCGAAAGAAGCCUGACUCCUAGAACCAAUCUGAGAAGUUGGACAUGGUGAUGGUAGCCAUUCUUUCUACGUUAGCAACACAUCAACGUAUGUGCUCAGUUGCCCUUCAGAUGUAUAAGUACAAUAUGCAAGCAUAACAGAGAUCUUCAGAUUCACCUCUCAAAUACUGAUUCACCUAGUAGAUGACUGUGCUGUGCCGAUGGACAUUUAGAAAAUCACAUAGCUGAGUAUCCUUGGGACCCAGAUUCACACAUCAGCAGAAUACUUCAGCAUUAUUCUCAAAAUCAGACUAAAGUCCUGGUUCCUCACUGAGGAAAAAGGAAAGGAUUCUGCAUGCAGCUUGUUAUGACUCUCACAUGGAUUGUAAUGUUUAAAUUACAAAAUAUUUGUAUAAAGAAAAUGUUCAACAGAAGGAGUUCCACCAAACAGCAUUCAUAGACCAAAUUUCGGUCACCCAUCUGAAAAACAGGAAAGAAAUCUCUAAACACAUUAUCUUAAUACAGAAAUCUAAAAUAGAUUUUGAAGUCAAGCCUCCAGACUUCAAGGAGAAACCACUCCUAAGUAUGACUAAGUUAUUACACAAUAUUGUAUUAUUAUAAUAUUAUUAUAAUAUAUAUAUGUAUAUAUAUGUAUAUAUAUGUGUAUAUAUAUAUACAUUGUAUUAUUAUGAUUGGGUAAUCCCAAGCACAGAUACAGGUUGGGCAGAGAAUGGCUUAAGAAAAGCCCUGAGGAGAAGGAUCU